RNAcentral lists this ribosomal RNA (253 nucleotides) under uncultured bacterium. RNAcentral describes it as "partial 16S ribosomal RNA". It matches the Rfam family "Bacterial small subunit ribosomal RNA", at positions 524 to 776 of the family's 1533-position model. The record is from RNAcentral.
UACGUAGGGUGCAAGCGUUGUCCGGAAUUAUUGGGCGUAAAGAGCUCGUAGGCGGUCUGUUGCGUCGGCUGUGAAAACCCGGGGCUCAACUCCGGGCCUGCAGCCGAUACGGGCAGACUAGAGUUCGGCAGGGGAGACUGGAAUUCCUGGUGUAGCGGUGAAAUGCGCAGAUAUCAGGAGGAACACCGGUGGCGAAGGCGGGUCUCUGGGCCGAAAUUGACGCUGAGGAGCGAAAGCGUGGGGAGCAAACAGG